UUCAACCCAAACCAGUCUGGGAUUCUGUCAUGGUUCUGUACUGUGAAGCCACACUGGAUCCCCCAGCUGCCGCUCUGUCCCUGCCACACACACUGCUGUUAAUGCAACUGGAAAAACAACCUGGUUUCAUUGGGAAAAACAAUGGAUGCCAGCUACAAACCUGACUGAGGUGAUGUCUGCCAGGCUGGGAACCCAGCCCAGGGACCCAGAGCAUCCUUGACAAGCACAGACAGGAGCUCAGGGCAUUGCAGAUAAACACACAACAAAGACCCUGCUAUUACCUGCGGAACAAAGAGGCUGCUAUAACCUGGGGAACAAAGAAACCUCUGUAAGGAACUGACCUCCCGAGGCAGCAGAAGUCAGCAGCGGAUGCCCAGGAGCUGCUGUCCUGCACCCACUCUUGUAUCCAAACUAAAAGACAUAAAAUAACUCAUUUUCUACCCAAAACCAACCCAUUUGUUUUCUCUCUCUUUGAGCAUUACCUCCAGGUGAUCAUCCCUGUGUGACCCCGAAGCCUCACUGGGGACGUCUGGCUUUGGGCUCUGUGACAUCCAUCAGCUUUGAUGUGAGACUUCAUCCAUCAUCAGCUGGCCCCACUCCUGGAGGAUCGGCACCGCUAAAGCAAACAUCUGGGCUCCUGGAACUGUUCCUAACCUGUUUGUCACUGCUGGCACCGUGGGACAGAUGCAGUCCAUGAAUGGCUGAGGCUCAUCUGUGUCUGCUCACCAUGAAGAUCCUCCUGGUCUUCGCCUCCCUCGUGGCAGCCACCUGCAGUGAGCAGCUCUUCGUGGGGAAGGAUGGAGACCACCUCAGGCUCUCCAGCACUUGCAUGUUUUCCCUAUCUUGGCUGUUCUGCACCUGCACUUUUCACUUCCAACAUCCAACCUCCAACCACUGGUGGACUUCCCAACCCACUGAGUCAGUGCAGACCUUUCACAGCCUCCACCCAGACCACGAUGGCACCGCAUCAACACUGGAAUCUGAGCUCCUUUCCCCCUCCAGUGACUCCAUCCCAUGCUGAUGGCUCUGCCUCCCUGCAGGGACCAGGUCCUCCGCAUCACAGCCAGCAAUGAGGAGCAGAUUGCCCUGCUCAGGGCGCUGGAUGAGCAGACAGAGCUGCAGGUUGACUUCUGGCGUCACCCUGCCAGCCCUGGCCACCCAGCUGACCUGCGGGUGCCCUUCCCCAGCCUCCAGGCUGUCAAAACCCUCCUGGAAUCCAAUGGCAUUUCCUACAGCAUCAUGAUCCAGGACCUGCAGAAACUAGUGGAUGAGGAGAAGAAAGCCAUGGCAAAGCCAAGCAAGACAAAGAGGAGCGGCAGCACAUUCAAUUUUGCCUCCUACCACACGAUAGAUGAGAUCUACGACUGGAUGGACACGCUGGUGGCCGAUCAUCCCGACCUGGUCAGCAAGCUCCAGAUCGGGCAGAGCUAUGAGAACAGAUCCCUGUAUGUGCUGAAGUUCAGCACUGGGGGAUCCAACCGGUCGGCCAUCUGGCUGGACACUGGCAUCCAUUCCCGGGAAUGGAUCACACAAGCCACUGGUGCCUGGACAGCCAACAAGAUUGCUGAGGAGUAUGGCCAGGACCCUUCUGUCACUGCCGUCCUGGACAGCAUGGACAUCUUCUUGGAGAUCAUUGCCAACCCGGAUGGCUUUGCCUACACCCACAGCUCUAACCGCAUGUGGCGCAAGACGAGGUCCAUCAAUGCCGGCUCCCACUGCAUCGGUGUGGAUCCCAACCGGAACUGGGAUGCUGGGUUUGGAGGCUCUGGCUCCAGCAGCAACCCCUGCUCCGAGACCUACCGUGGUCCUUAUGCCCACUCCGAGAGGGAAGUGAAAGCCAUUGCAGACUUCAUCCUUGGUCAUGGGAAUGUGAAGUUGGUCAUCUCCAUCCACAGCUACUCCCAGAUGCUGCUUUACCCCUAUGGCUACAAGACAGCACCGGCACCUGAUCACCAGGAGCUGGUGAGAUGGUCCCAACAUGUAGACAUGGGGCUGUCAGCACCAGCCUUGGUGGAAAAGUCCGGUUGGAUCAUUCCAGGACCCUGCUCCUCUUGUUGUAGCCAACCUGAAGCCCAUCAAUUGGUUCUUGGAAUCAUAACAUCAACCAGGUUGGAAAAGACCUCUAAGAUCAUCAAGCCCAACUGUUGCCCAGCCCUGCCAAGGCCACCACUAGAAAAAGGGAGGGGGAUAGCAGGAUGUAGCUGCCAUCCAUCAAAAAAUAGGGUGUUUUGGGGAAAAGCAGGAGCAGAGGGGUUGGAAAACUGCUGGGAUCUAGGCUCUGCUGCCCCAAGAUCUUGGUCCACCAGGUCUCACCACUCUGGGGCUCUCCCUUGCAGAAUGAAGUGGCUAAAAAGGCAGUGAGUGACUUGGCUGCUGUAUAUGGGACAAAGUACACCUAUGGCAGCAUCGUGAACAGCAUCUACCUGGCUGCUGGCACCACCAUUGACUGGACCUAUGACCAUGGGGUGAAAUACUCCUUCACACUGGAGCUGAGGGACACGGGGUACUAUGGCUUCCUCCUGCCCAGCACCCAGAUCAUCCCCACUGCUACCGAGACCUGGGC
Melopsittacus undulatus (budgerigar) is the source of this 2563-nucleotide RNA transcript. It is a transcript of the gene named carboxypeptidase A1-like, with no coding region annotated. The record is from RefSeq and is a predicted model, not a curated record. The transcript is spliced from 11 exons. Lineage: Eukaryota; Metazoa; Chordata; Aves; Psittaciformes; Psittaculidae.